UUGAGAGCGGCGGACGGGUGAGUAAUACCUAGGAAUCUGCCUGAUAGUGGGGGAUAACGUUCGGAAACGGACGCUAAUACCGCAUACGUCCUACGGGAGAAAGCAGGGGACCUUCGGGCCUUGCGCUAUCAGAUGAGCCUAGGUCGGAUUAGCUAGUUGGUGAGGUAAUGGCUCACCAAGGCUACGAUCCGUAACUGGUCUGAGAGGAUGAUCAGUCACACUGGAACUGAGACACGGUCCAGACUCCUACGGGAGGCAGCAGUGGGGAAUAUUGGACAAUGGGCGAAAGCCUGAUCCAGCCAUGCCGCGUGUGUGAAGAAGGUCUUCGGAUUGUAAAGCACUUUAAGUUGGGAGGAAGGGCAGUUACCUAAUACGUGAUUGUCUUGACGUUACCGACAGAAUAAGCACCGGCUAACUCUGUGCCAGCAGCCGCGGUAAUACAGAGGGUGCAAGCGUUAAUCGGAAUUACUGGGCGUAAAGCGCGCGUAGGUGGUUUGUUAAGUUGAAUGUGAAAUCCCCGGGCUCAACCUGGGAACUGCAUCCAAAACUGGCAAGCUAGAGUAUGGUAG
This 569-nucleotide ribosomal RNA is filed under the name Pseudomonas sp. EECC-131. RNAcentral's name for it is "bacterial SSU rRNA". It matches the Rfam family "Bacterial small subunit ribosomal RNA", at positions 89 to 654 of the family's 1533-position model. The record is from RNAcentral. Lineage: Bacteria; Pseudomonadati; Pseudomonadota; Gammaproteobacteria; Pseudomonadales; Pseudomonadaceae.